Molecule: small RNA, 1239 nt
Filed under: Arabidopsis thaliana (thale cress)
Lineage: Eukaryota; Viridiplantae; Streptophyta; Magnoliopsida; Brassicales; Brassicaceae
Description: ATSL081900
Source: RNAcentral
AAUAUAAAUCUAAAUAUGUCAAUUAAUUUUGGACCUAAAUAUCCCAAACAACUAAACUAUUCAAAAAUUAUUUGUUAUGUUUGUCAAAAUUUAGUAAAAUAUAUUCAAAUAUAAUUAAAUUUAUUAAAACUUAACAAAUUUAAAAGUUUUUUUUGUUUAGAGACCCGCUAUCUACAUAAAAAUUUCCCGUUUCUAUUUUUUUUGGAUAUUUUUAGGGUCUGAAACUUUUUCCAAACUGACCCAAACCCAACUGGAUCUGACCGGAACCAGAACCGAAUAUUUAGAAUUAUUCUAUUGGGUAGUAAAUCAUAUACCCAUUAAUCCCAAACCCGAACUCGAAUGGGUUACUCAUAUGCCCAACUCUAUUCUGUGAUUUAAUUAUCUAAAAACUCUCAAAAAAACAUAUGUUUUGCUGACUACCUUUUUAAAAAAAAAAUUUACAUCCUCUUCUUCCAAAAUCAUUUCAUAAGACAUCACAAAACCUUUGGAAUAAUAAUUCCAUGAAUGAAGAAUCCUAAUUUGAAUAUACCAAGAGGUUUUGAAAGGUUUUAACUUUUUGAUAGGUGUGUAUGUGAGAAGGUACAGACAUCGUGAAAGUAAUCUGCUUAUUUAUAAUUUCAACUUGUAGUAUACCGCAUGUAGGCUUAUAUUUUAGUUAAACUAAAAACUUUUAUUGUAAAGAUGAUUAUAAAUAUAUGAUAUUAUUUUAUUUGAUUUUAAAUGUACAGUAAACUGCGAGUUGUAUAUAUUUUGUUGAUAUUAUUUAUAUUGUUUAGUGUUUAAAAUUAUACACUUGUAUUUUGAUUGUUAAUUUUAGAGUUUCACCUGUAGUAUACCAUCUUGUAGUAAUAUCGAUUUAAACCCGUCAAUUCUAGGAUUUUCCAGCUUGUAUUAAAAAUUGAAUCACAUCAUACACAUAAAAAAAUCUAAUAUGUUAUUAAUUAUUGUAGUAUAUAAGAUUAUAAAAUUUUAAAAUAAUAUGUAUGAAAUUGAAUAUAAAUAUUCAAAUUGUGACUAAGUACUCAGUAUAAAAUUUUCUUAAAUCUAUUUUUGACCCGUUAUAAUAUUUUUUUUAUGUAUUGAACAGUUUAUAUUCGUUUUUAAAAAUUCAAAUUAUGGCAUAUGCGAAAAAACUCUAAUUAUUGUUUUAUAACGAUGAUAUUAUUUUUUCGUAAAAAUAGAAUCAUAUAAAGAUGAGAGGUGUACUAUAAAAUUAAUAAAAAAUUAAUAUGAUAAUUU